This 62-nucleotide transfer RNA is filed under the name Lethocerus indicus. Its description in RNAcentral is "tRNA-Tyr". The record is from RNAcentral. Lineage: Eukaryota; Metazoa; Arthropoda; Insecta; Hemiptera; Belostomatidae.
AGUAGGGUGGCUGAAUUAUAGGCUGUAAAUUGUAAAUUUAUAUAUGGUUAAUUACCUCCUGC